This 459-nucleotide ribosomal RNA is filed under the name uncultured organism. RNAcentral's name for it is "bacterial SSU rRNA". It matches the Rfam family "Bacterial small subunit ribosomal RNA", at positions 28 to 507 of the family's 1533-position model. The record is from RNAcentral.
GACGAACGCUGGCGGCGUGCUUAACACAUGCAAGUCGAACGAUGAAGCCCUUCGGGGUGGAUUAGUGGCGAACGGGUGAGUAACACGUGAGUAACCUGCCCCUUUCUCUGGGAUAACUGUGGGAAACUGCAGCUAAUACCGGAUAUUCACUGUCCCUCGCAUGGGGGGUGGUGGAAAGUUUUUUCGGUGGGGGAUGGGCUCGCGGCCUAUCAGCUUGUUGGUGGGGUAGUGGCCUACCAAGGCUUUGACGGGUAGCCGGCCUGAGAGGGCGACCGGCCACACUGGGACUGAGAUACGGCCCAGACUCCUACGGGAGGCAGCAGUGGGGAAUAUUGCACAAUGGGCGCAAGCCUGAUGCAGCAACGCCGCGUGCGGGAUGAAGGCCUUCGGGUUGUAAACCGCUUUCACCCAUGACGAAUGUAGACGGUAGUGGGAGAAGAAGCACCGGCUAACUACGUG